Rhincodon typus (whale shark) is the source of this 1410-nucleotide long non-coding RNA. RefSeq lists it as uncharacterized. Lineage: Eukaryota; Metazoa; Chordata; Chondrichthyes; Orectolobiformes; Rhincodontidae. The record is from RefSeq and is a predicted model, not a curated record. The transcript is spliced from 4 exons.
CUCUGUGCUGUCCCCGCUGUCCCUGGCCCUGCUCCCGCUGCAGCUCCGGCCGUCGAGGAAGUGAUUGCAGGAGAGGAUGAAGAGGAGGAAGAUGAGGAGGAUGAAGGGGUCGAGAUUGGGGUCUGAUUCACCGGAGCUGGUGGGAUCAGUGCAACCGGAACGGCCAUGGUUGCUGGAACAUAGAAAAAUUGGGGGAAAAGAAAAAAAGACAAAAAAAAAUCCCCACUGUAUUUCUCCUCUUGAACAAGAACAGGAAUCAACACACGUUCAUUUAAAAGAAAAGCUCUGUGAUGUUGUCCCUGUGAUGUCGGUUCCUGGAUGCAACUGACUUAAUCCUGGAGUAGGCUGAUAACGGGGACAGAUCGUUCGAACUAAACGGAUAGAAGUUUUCAAAAGAAACUUUUUUUAAAAAUCGGUGCUUUCUGAGGUUGAUUGCAGCCCCCUGGCAGGGACAUUCAAGCAUGGAAAGGUUUUAAUUUGCAUUUGAAUAGCUGGAACGACCCGUAAACACUUCCAGGAACGAUUUUUACAAUGUGCGCUAAAGAUUUCUGAACAUUUCAUGCAAUUUUCAGAAUCUUAAUCAGUCUGAUUUCAAGUGGCGCGGGAUAAAAAUGACAUUUGUUGAACACACUACUGAACUGUUUCUUCAUUGGCCAAAUACAGGCUCUAAAGAUCAAGAUCCGUAUAUUUGAGUUAUAAAGCUGGACAGCAGAGUGCAAUCGAAUUAAUGCUGACUCGUUCUUUAUGCAAAGGGAACAAUGCGCAUAUUAAUGCAGACAGUUUUGCAAGUGACAGGAACAUUGCUAAACUGUAAUGAUUUAAACAAAAAGUGUAUUCAAUGCAUAAUGAGAGUCUCGCUUUCGCAGCCUUCAGAGUCCAAACGCUCCGUCUUAGUGUUUUGUGAAAGGAAGUGAGACACUGGCAAGCACUAUCCAAAUGCAUUAAAACAGUAUACAAACAUGAGAGAGUUUAUCGAUUUUGCUUUCGUUUUAUCGUCUUGCAACAAAGCGACCUUUCUGGAGAAUUAAUCAUACUAAACACAGCUCUGCUGCAUUUGAAAUCACCUCUCAGCCUUUCGACAAUACCUUCUUGAUUAUACAAAGUCCUUCUUUUCUCAUUCGUCAGUGCGCAUUUAUUAGAAAAGUGCAUCCACUCUUAACGCAGUAACAUUGAUCCAUUUCUUUUCGUUGGAGGAGGCAAAGGUGGAGAGAAUGAGGUGGUGUAUGAAUAUUCAAUACCCCUGGAGGAUUCACAUUGUACCUGUUGAUCAAUGUGCAGUCAAUGUGUCUUAUGAGGUACAGGCAUCAAAGAAGGAUUGGCUCUUGAGAUGUUCAGGUAGAUGUGAAGAAGCAUGUCAAAGUAUUUCUGCUGGAACACGAAUUGGCUGUAAUAUGAUGGAUGAAUAGUGGA